GUGCUCGCUUCGGCAACACAUACACUAAAAUUGAAACGAUACAGAGAAGAUUAGCAUGGCCCCUGUGCAGGGAUGACAAACAAAUUCGUGAAGUGUUCCAUAAUUUU
RNAcentral lists this small nuclear RNA (107 nucleotides) under Rhinolophus ferrumequinum (greater horseshoe bat). Lineage: Eukaryota; Metazoa; Chordata; Mammalia; Chiroptera; Rhinolophidae. The record is from RNAcentral.